Molecule: ribosomal RNA, 497 nt
Filed under: uncultured bacterium
Lineage: Bacteria
Description: partial 16S ribosomal RNA
Rfam family: Bacterial small subunit ribosomal RNA
Source: RNAcentral
GAUGAACGCUGGCGGCGUGCCUAAUACAUGCAAGUCGAGCGAACAGACGAGGAGCUUGCUCCUCUGACGUUAGCGGCGGACGGGUGAGUAACACGUGGAUAACCUACCUAUAAGACUGGGAUAACUUCGGGAAACCGGAGCUAAUACCGGAUAAUAUAUUGAACCGCAUGGUUCAAUAGUGAAAGACGGUUUUGCUGUCACUUAUAGAUGGAUCCGCGCCGCAUUAGCUAGUUGGUAAGGUAACGGCUUACCAAGGCAACGAUGCGUAGCCGACCUGAUAGGGUGAUCGGCCACACGGGAACGGAGACACGGUCCAGACUCCUACGGGAGGCAGCAGUAGGGAAUCUGCCGCAAUGGGCGAAAGCCUGACGGAGCAACGCCGCGUGAGUGAUGAAGGUCUUCGGAUCGUAAAACUCUGUUAUUAGGGAAGAACAAAUGUGUAAGUAACUAUGCACGUCUUGACGGUACCUAAUCAGAAAGCCACGGCUAACUACGUG